GGGUCCCCCUUGUGGUCGGUGUACAGGUGGUGCAUGGCUGUCGUCAGCUCGUGUCGAGAGAUGUUGGGUUAAGUCCCGCAACGAGCGCAACCCUUGUCCCGUGUUGCCAGCAGGCCCUUGUGGUGCUGGGGACUCACGGGAGACCGCCGGGGUCAACUCGGAGGAAGGUGGGGACGACGUCAAGUCAUCAUGCCCCUUAUGUCUUGGGCUGCACACGUGCUACAAUGGCCGGUACAAUGAGCUGCGAUACCGCGAGGUGGAGCGAAUCUCAAAAAGCCGGUCUCAGUUCGGAUUGGGGUCUGCAACUCGACCCCAUGAAGUCGGAGUCGCUAGUAAUCGCAGAUCAGCAUUGCUGCGGUGAAUACGUUCCCGGGUCUUGUACACACCGA
This 389-nucleotide ribosomal RNA is filed under the name Streptomyces rochei group sp. RNAcentral's name for it is "bacterial SSU rRNA". It matches the Rfam family "Bacterial small subunit ribosomal RNA", at positions 1012 to 1393 of the family's 1533-position model. The record is from RNAcentral. Lineage: Bacteria; Bacillati; Actinomycetota; Actinomycetes; Kitasatosporales; Streptomycetaceae.